GUCGUCAGCUCGUGUCGUGAGAUGUUGGGUUAAGUCCCGCAACGAGCGCAACCCUUAAGCUUAGUUGCCAUCAUUAAGUUGGGCACUCUAGGUUGACUGCCGGUGACAAACCGGAGGAAGGUGGGGAUGACGUCAAAUCAUCAUGCCCCUUAUGAUUUGGGCUACACACGUGCUACAAUGGACAAUACAAAGGGCAGCUAAACCGCGAGGUCAUGCAAAUCCCAUAAAGUUGUUCUCAGUUCGGAUUGUAGUCUGCAACUCGACUACAUGAAGCUGGAAUCGCUAGUAAUCGUAGAUCAGCAUGCUACGGUGAAUACGUUCCCGGGUCUUGUACACACCGCCCGUCACACCACGAGAGUUUGUAACACCCGAAGCCGGUGGAGUAACCAUUUAUGGAGCUAGCCGUCGAAGGUGGGACAAAUGAUUGGGGUGAAGUCGUAACAAGGUAGCCGUAUCGGAAGGUGCGGUUGGAUCACCUC
This 479-nucleotide ribosomal RNA is filed under the name uncultured bacterium. RNAcentral describes it as "bacterial SSU rRNA". It matches the Rfam family "Bacterial small subunit ribosomal RNA", at positions 1051 to 1529 of the family's 1533-position model. The record is from RNAcentral.